GUCCCAUGAUGAGGACACUUAUGAAGUAAUUCCUUGAAACUUUCCCAUACCACAUACAAAGACUCGUCAUCCAAUUGUUGGAAAAUAGAUAUUGAACUAUGUGGCA
This is a non-coding RNA of Gossypium hirsutum (cotton), 106 nucleotides long. The record is from Rfam. NCBI's taxonomy places the organism in Eukaryota, Viridiplantae, Streptophyta, Magnoliopsida, Malvales, Malvaceae.